Molecule: long non-coding RNA, 1165 nt
Organism: Fukomys damarensis (Damara mole-rat)
Lineage: Eukaryota; Metazoa; Chordata; Mammalia; Rodentia; Bathyergidae
Exons: 4
Source: RefSeq, a predicted model, not a curated record
AGGGCCUGGACUCAAUUAUUUCCAAGGUCUUUUCCAGAUGUAAAACUCUAAGCUUCAAGGUAAAAGUGUCAGGUCACCCAGGAAACGCACCGGUGCCAGAAAAAUCUGAAGGCGUGGCCUGACCCAUUUAAGACUGCCACUUCAGGGGAGGCUCAGGUGGUCAUGGUGCCACAGCUCCUUGCUGGCUCCUGUCCAAGGCCAGGGAAGGCCUCCUGAGAAGCCCAGGUGCGAACUGGUCAGGCGCAGCCAGCAUGUGGCCCAGGCCAAGGGCUUUCACAGGCCCAUAGGACUGGAUCAGCUGUACAGCCCUACAAAGGGCCUGUGCUCUUUCCAGCUGGCAAAACCUUACAGAGAAAGGCAAAGCAACCGGAAAAAGCAGCGGAAAACACAUGGGCUCCGAAAUCUGACAACCUGAGCGCUAACCUGAUGCUGAUCAGCUGAACCACAGGAAUUUGCUCCCCCUCCCUGAGCCUCAGUUUCCCCAAGUGGGGAUGGGGAGGGGAUGCACAGUGCCUGCCACCGGGUAAAUGCUGACUUCCACUUCAUUAGUGAAAACAGGUUUCUGUUCGUGGUGACAAUAGCCCUGCCACUGAGCUGUUCUACACUGUCCCCUCUCCUGCAACUUGUUCCUCUGGCAUAAAGGUCUCUUUGAUGAGCACUGGGUCCAGUCACUUCUGAGCUCCCCGAUGACCUCCACUUCCCCUAACACAGACGGAGCGUCAACUACAUGCCAGACGACUUUUAAUCAGGAGGGAAAGGACUAGAUUGGCAUUAACAAAAACCAACUUUUGCUGAAGUGUGGAAAGAGGAUGGAGAUGGGACAGAGAGAGAGAGAUUUGAGAAAGAGAACUGAUAACAUCAGGAAGAAAACAAGACCUCAGAUUCAACAGAUCCCAAGUGUUCUGCCCCCUUCAAGCCAGUCCUUCAACAGAAACUCACUUCCUGCCACAUCUGGAGAUGUUCGCCUCUUUCACUUUCUUCAUAAACGCUGCAGCCAUAGAAUUUGAAAACAGGCUCCAGUAUAGGACUCUCCUACGCAUUGAAGGUUUUGCUCGCUUCUACAGGGACCUCGGAUGGGCCGCGGUGCCCUGACAACGACCACAAAAGAAUCCGUGCGGUUUCCCGGCGGAGCGAGCCCGUGGGCCGUGACCUCUCUGCGCCGGGG